AUCUAUGGACCAAUGUCUUCAAUCUGACAUUAAAGGGACUCUUACCUUUGUUGCAUUUUUACACUUUUUUUGGAUAAGGUUAAAUUGGUAUUAAUAAGGUAAUAACACUCUAAUAUGGAAGACAGACCCACCAGGAGUAAAAACAAACAAUUAUUUUACUCUCAUAAUAUUUAGUGAAAACUUCAACAAAUAAAAUUCUUCGGACCGAAUGACCUUAUUGGCCAACAGACCUGUCUGUUUGCUGCAUGGAUAUAUAAGGUUUUCCGUCUGCUUCUUGUGGCGCAUUCGGGCCCGCGUCAUCAAGGCGCGUCCUCAACUAGAGGGUUUGUUUUGAUUCCACGGCAGACAGUAGCGAGUAGCGACCGUAGCGACUGACGAUGGCAGACCAAAGUGGUCCAUGGCGUACUGAAACUGCACCCAUUCAGGUCCGAUUAGGGACUCAUCUCGGAACUCAGACUCACAGAGUUACCCUCCUCUGGAGCCUCAGGAAGACCUCCAGACUGUUGGCCACCAACUGCACCAUUCAGUCCGACAAGGGGACCCGAUUCGGCCUCAGAAGCCAAGUGGUCCCGCUCCCCUGGAUGAUUCUCAGGACCUCCAGACCGUUGGCAACCAACCGCACCACUUAGUCCGAUUAGGGGACCCGUUUUCGGACUCAGACGCGACGUUGUCCCGCUACUCUGGAGCUCCGGGAAGACCUCCAGACCGUUGGCACCCAACCGCACCACUCAGUCCGAUUACGGGACCCAUUUCGGACUCAGACGCGACGUUGUCCCGCUACUCUGGAGCUACAGGAAGACCUCCAGACCGUUGGCACCCAACCGCACCAUUCAGUCCGAUUAGGGGACCCAUUUCGGCCUCAGACGCUACGUUGUCCCGCUACUCUGUUUGUAAUGCUCAUACACCUUUCUUAUACUCAGUGGGACCACUGUCCUUCAACAUGGGGCCUCAAAACGGUAUCACACGAAGCCCAUAAAAUUACAGUGAGCCACCUGCUAAAUUUCUUGUUUACUAGACCCCUGGUAGAUAUUAUGACCCCUGGGAGUCUAAACAUAACCGAUAACCCAUGGGAGUCUAGAACUUUUGUACUGUAGCGACCCUGGGACAGUUAAAUAGUUUGUGUGUUAUGUGUUACAUUAUAUUUCGUUGUCCGCUAUGCCAGUUGUUCUAUGUGCAUGUAUUGUAAUGUUCUUCUUGUCAAUCAGCGUGGGGGGCGAAUCAUUAGGUCAGCUGGGGAGGGCCUUGGAAGAACAGGAGGGUGGGGGCCUGCACGCGAGUGAGACCGUGUUGGGGGUUGCCGGGGUAACCGGGGUUUGUUUUGUGUCGGUUUUCUGCCGUUGGUUACAAUGUUACGGGUUUCAGUGACCUGGUUUUGGUUCAUUAAAACUACCUUCAACUACUAAUGACUCGACAUCAUUAUGUCACCGGCGAGGUCGUUACAGUACUCUAAAAAAUAACGCUUAGUUUUGUACUCUAAAAAAUAACGCUUAGGGGGUGGGGCAUUGGAGGAAGGCGGGAUGAUUUGAAUGUGCUGUAAUUUUCAAAUGCAACAAAGGUAAGAGUCCCUUUCAGCAAAGUCUGUACAAUAAAAAAACUAAUGCGCCCAGGAGCCAUUGACUUCUAAAAAGGGUGUAGUUUAAAACGUGUAAAG
Molecule: long non-coding RNA, 1651 nt
Organism: Gadus morhua (Atlantic cod)
Lineage: Eukaryota; Metazoa; Chordata; Actinopteri; Gadiformes; Gadidae
Source: Ensembl